RNAcentral lists this ribosomal RNA (403 nucleotides) under Verrucomicrobiota bacterium. RNAcentral's name for it is "Verrucomicrobia bacterium partial 16S ribosomal RNA". It matches the Rfam family "Bacterial small subunit ribosomal RNA", at positions 355 to 776 of the family's 1533-position model. Lineage: Bacteria; Pseudomonadati; Verrucomicrobiota. The record is from RNAcentral.
UGGGGAAUAUUGCACAAUGGGGGAAACCCUGAUGCAGCGACGCCGCGUGAGCGAAGAAGGUUUUCGAAUCGUAAAUCUCUGUCCUAUGAGAAGAUAAUGACGGUAUCAUAGGAGGAAGCCCCGGCUAAAUACGUGCCAGCAGCCGCGGUAAUACGUAUGGGGCGAGCGUUGUCCGGAAUUAUUGGGCGUAAAGGGUACGUAGGCGGUCUAUUAAGUCAGGUGUGAAAUCGUGAGACUUAACCUCAUUAAGCACUUGAAACUGAUAGACUUGAGUGAAGGAGAGGAAAGUGGAAUUCCUAGUGUAGCGGUGAAAUGCGUAGAUAUUAGAAGGAAUACCGGUGGCGAAGGCGACUUUCUGGACUUUUACUGACGAUAAGGUACGCAAGCGUGGGGAGCAAACCGG